Long non-coding RNA from Setaria italica (foxtail millet), 1123 nucleotides. RefSeq lists it as uncharacterized. NCBI's taxonomy places the organism in Eukaryota, Viridiplantae, Streptophyta, Magnoliopsida, Poales, Poaceae. The transcript has 2 exons. The record is from RefSeq and is a predicted model, not a curated record.
CUGCGUCCUGUCAUUUUUUUCACAAAACAUCCUCGUAUGGUGAGGACUCGUGCUCCGAGAGGAAACCAACGGGUAAAACACGCGUUGUAUGCAUCGUCUCCUCUCGACGACGGCGCUGGCCGAUCCGCUGUGACGAGCGCGCUUUGGUGCGGAGAGAUCGGCCGCAAAUCUUAUUCCCACUCCGUUUCACAGCAGAGAUCGCACCAAAUCUUCUCGAUUAUCAUCUCCACCGAUGCAACUGAAGAACAAAGCGGCGGCGGAAAAAUGGAUCGGAACCGGGGAAAGGGAGCUGCGGCAGCUUGAAUCACUGCCGGCAAAAGGGUGCGGCAGCAGCCGUCUCCGCUCCUCGAUCUGCCGCAGGUGCUGCCUCCCCACCUGCUGGCACCUGCAGAUCCGGCCGGCUUGACCUUCUCCAGCGUCCAUGGACCGAGCUUCAGCGGCGUGGUGGACGGAGACGCCGAGGCAGAGGCCGCGGCCGGGGAAGUCAGUGGCCUGCACGGCGGCGAGCGCGACGCCCCGUCGUCCCCCGACGGCUUCAGCUGCGGCCUCUCCUUGGGACUGCAACGGCUCAAGGCCUGCGGUCUGCAGGUACUCUCACCCUCCGCGCAAGGCAGCCGGCUUCCGAGGCUCCGAGAAUGGCGACCUCCUCUUCUGGAUCCAGCGCUCCAACCUCCGAUUCGACUGCUCGUCAACUCCCGGCAGCAUCCUUCUUCGGGGAUAGUAGUAGCAGUAGCGUUUAUCCGCUCUCUCCCUUGGCUGUCAGGUUCUCAAUUUUCUGCAGCACUGCUACAGUAGAUUAAAUCUGUUCUUGCUCGUUCAGCUGCAGCUUGGCUUGGUGUUUCGAUCCCAAGCUUUGAUUUUUUCCAUUGGUCUGCGCUGCUUUGCUCGGUCUGCACUUCUCUGCCUAUUUUUCUGUAUUGCUCGGCUUGAUUCAGAACUAGCAGUUGCAGGUGGACAGCAGCAGUAUGCUCUAUUCUUCUCUCUGGACAAUCAAAAUAUUAUGUUAUCUCAAUUUUACUGCUCAUUCAGUUUGUCGUGAAAAGCUUGAAUAUAGGCAUACUGUGUGAACAGGUUAAACUUGUGCUUUUCUGGUGUGAACAGAGUGAAGAUGUUAAACUUGUGA